GAUGAACGCUGGCGGCGUGCCUAACACAUGCAAGUCGAACGGAAAGGCCCUGAUCUUGUGGGGCGCUUGUGAGGCGAACGGGUGAGUAACACGCGUGUAAACUGCCCUUGACAUUCGGAUAACUUCAGGAAAAUGGGGCUAAUAUCGGAUAGGAGCUUCUGCAGCACGGUGGGGGAUGGAAAGUUUCGGCGGUUGGGGAUGGACUCGCGGCUUAUCAGCUUGAUGGUGGGGUAGUGGCUUACAAAGGUUUUGACGGGUAGCCGACCUGAGAGGGUGACCGGCGUCAUUAGGACUGAGGUACGGCGCAGACUCCUACGGGAGGCAGCAGUGGGGAACAUUGCACAGUGGGCGGGAGCCAGAUGCAACAGCGCCGCGUGCGGGAUGACGUCCUUCGGGUUAUAAACCGCUUUGGCCGGUGACGAGGCGUGAGUGACGGUAAUGGGUAAAGAAGCACCGGCUAACUACGUG
This 468-nucleotide ribosomal RNA is filed under the name uncultured bacterium. RNAcentral describes it as "partial 16S ribosomal RNA". It matches the Rfam family "Bacterial small subunit ribosomal RNA", at positions 28 to 507 of the family's 1533-position model. The record is from RNAcentral.